AACGAACGCUGGCGGCAUGCCUAACACAUGCAAGUCGAACGAGACCUUCGGGUCUAGUGGCGCACGGGUGCGUAACGCGUGGGAACCUGCCCUUAGGUUCGGAAUAACUCCCCGAAAGGGGUGCUAAUACCGGAUAAUGUCUUCGGACCAAAGAUUUAUCGCCUUUGGAUGGGCCCGCGUUGGAUUAGCUAGCUGGUAGGGUAAAAGCCUACCAAGGCGACGAUCCAUAGCUGGUCUGAGAGGAUGAUCAGCCACACUGGGACUGAGACACGGCCCAGACUCCUACGGGAGGCAGCAGUGGGGAAUAUUGGACAAUGGGCGAAAGCCUGAUCCAGCAAUGCCGCGUGAGUGAUGAAGGCCUUAGGGUCGUAAAGCUCUUUUACCCGGGAUGAUAAUGACAGUACCGGGAGAAUAAGCUCCGGCUAACUCCGUG
This 433-nucleotide ribosomal RNA is filed under the name uncultured bacterium. RNAcentral describes it as "partial 16S ribosomal RNA". It matches the Rfam family "Bacterial small subunit ribosomal RNA", at positions 29 to 507 of the family's 1533-position model. The record is from RNAcentral.